This is a long non-coding RNA of Siniperca chuatsi (mandarin fish), 965 nucleotides long. RefSeq lists it as uncharacterized. The record is from RefSeq and is a predicted model, not a curated record. Lineage: Eukaryota; Metazoa; Chordata; Actinopteri; Centrarchiformes; Sinipercidae. The transcript has 3 exons.
CAAGUUAUCAGACUCUUAACUCUCUAACUCUUAAUAAAUGUUUCCAGACAAGAAGGAGAGUGUGGCGUAUAAAGCAACAAGAUGAAUUCUGAGGGAGCGGGUCCCCUUCCACGGAGGCCGCCAUUUUGCACCGCCAUGUUCAGCCCUGAGUAGUGUCUGCAGGUCUUCCCUUCGGUCUCCAUAAGGCCCCAACAACCCCCAGCAAUAAGCUAGGACAGCAUGUACAUUAUGCAGCCUGUGAGGUGAAACCCAGGGCAAAAAAGAGCAGACAUCCUGGAACCUGAGGAAACCCAGUCCCACGAUACGAGCCUUCGCCCCCCAGCUGAGACAGAGCUGAAUCAGGCGACAGGCACUUCCCUCCCAGUGUUUCCACUGACAUCACCUUACAUACAGGAUUCAGACAGACGUGGGGGAGUGAAGUUAACUAUUACAGCAUCCUAGAGCUAUGAAGUGCUACUGCACCUCAUGACAGCUGCCAUUUGUUGUCCUGGAAACAAGCAAUGCGUCAUGCACCAGGAGUCACAGACUUGACGUUGCAGCUAUGACUGCCUAAAUAAUUUCCUUUCUACUAACCUGGGAGAUAGGGCAAUUCAGAAAUAAUUUAUAAUACCCAUGACAGUCCACUCCAAAUAUUAACACUACAUAAAAUGUGUGUGUAUUUUACAAGAUAUACAUACAAUAAUCUAUUCUGAUGAGAAAAUGAAACCAUAAUCCCCACCAACACUUCCAUGGCCGUGUCUCUGUUAAAGUUUCUGAGAUCAUCAAAGCGAUUCAUAUAUGGGCCGCAUGAAAUCUUGAAUUUGUGAUACGCUGUGCAUGAAAUAAGCUCAUUUUCGGAGACUGACCCUUUCACACAUUCAAAACUGACUGUUCAUUCAGCAGUCAUCAAGGCAGGAACAUUCUGCUUUUACUGCUGUCAGUUUGUUUCUUCACGUGAGGACAAACCCUGAAACCCUGUAACAAAA